This 202-nucleotide ribosomal RNA is filed under the name Sphingobacteriia bacterium enrichment culture clone AB7. RNAcentral's name for it is "partial 16S ribosomal RNA". It matches the Rfam family "Bacterial small subunit ribosomal RNA", at positions 314 to 513 of the family's 1533-position model. The record is from RNAcentral. Lineage: Bacteria; Pseudomonadati; Bacteroidota; Sphingobacteriia.
GGGCACUGAGACACGGGCCCGACUCCUACGGGAGGCAGCAGUAAGGAAUAUUGGUCAAUGGACGCAAGUCUGAACCAGCCAUGCCGCGUGGAGGAUUAAGGCCCUCUGGGUUGUAAACUCCUUUUAUCUGGGAAGAAAUCCACAUAUUCUUAUGUGGUUGACGGUACCAGAGGAAUAAGCACCGGCUAGCUCCGUGCCAGCA